Molecule: ribosomal RNA, 326 nt
Filed under: uncultured eukaryote
Lineage: Eukaryota
Description: partial 18S ribosomal RNA
Rfam family: Eukaryotic small subunit ribosomal RNA
Source: RNAcentral
CCCUUAGAUGUCCUGGGCCGCACGCGCGCUACACUGAUGCAUUCAACGAGUUUUACCUUGGCCGAGAGGCCUGGGCAAUCUUUUAAACCUGCAUCGUGAUAGGGAUAGAUUAUUGCAAUUAUUAAUCUUGAACGAGGAAUUCCUAGUAAGCGCAAGUCAACAGCUUGCGUUGAUUACGUCCCUGCCCUUUGUACACACCGCCCGUCGCUACUACUGAUUGGAUGUUUAAGCGAGGUUCUCGAACUGCUAGCGACUUAGCUUCGGUGAGGUCGCAGUGUGGGAAGUGAACCUAGCUUUGGUGUCUAGAGGAAGUAAAAGUCGUAACA